This 252-nucleotide unclassified non-coding RNA is filed under the name Xylariaceae sp. RNAcentral's name for it is "partial contains 5.8S ribosomal RNA, internal transcribed spacer 2, and large subunit ribosomal RNA". The record is from RNAcentral. Lineage: Eukaryota; Fungi; Ascomycota; Sordariomycetes; Xylariales; Xylariaceae.
CGCACAUUGCGCCCAUUAGUAUUCUAGUGGGCAUGCCUGUUCGAGCGUCAUUUCAACCCUUAAGCCCUGUUGCUUAGCGUUGGGAGCCUACAGAUACCCUCUGUAGUUCCUUAAAGUUAGUGGCGGAGUCGGUUUCACACUCUAGACGUAGUAAAUUUUAUCUCGCCUAUAGAUGAGCCGGUCCCUUGCCGUAAAAACCCCUAAUUUCUAAAGGUUGACCUCGGAUCAGGUAGGAAUACCCGCUGAACUUAA